UUUUUGCGUUAGGGAUAGAAGCGGAUAGCCCACAGCCUGACGAAGGAAGUGCGAGGACUUGUAGCGGAUAGCCCGUUCGCCG
This 82-nucleotide small RNA is filed under the name Flavobacterium araucananum. RNAcentral's name for it is "Flavo-1 RNA". Lineage: Bacteria; Pseudomonadati; Bacteroidota; Flavobacteriia; Flavobacteriales; Flavobacteriaceae. The record is from RNAcentral.